RNAcentral lists this ribosomal RNA (1349 nucleotides) under Fejervarya sp. BFS-2007. RNAcentral describes it as "partial 16S rRNA". The stretch from base 678 to 1349 matches the Rfam family "Eukaryotic large subunit ribosomal RNA", at positions 1891 to 2867 of the family's 3401-position model. The record is from RNAcentral. Lineage: Eukaryota; Metazoa; Chordata; Amphibia; Anura; Dicroglossidae.
AGCUAAAAACCUAGCCUACUUCUAUUCUUUUUCCCUUCCCCACCCUACAAAACAUUUUUUAUCCUAGUAGAGGAGAUCAAAAAGAAAAUAAGCGCUUUAUAAACAGUACCGCAAGGGAAAGAUGAAAUAGCUUUGAAAAAGCCCUCAAGCACCAAAUAGCAGAGAUUACCCCUCGUACCUUUUGCAUCAUGGUUUAACUAGUCUUAAUCAAGCAAAACGAAGUAUUAGUUUGAUUCCCCGAAACUAGGCGAGCUACUUCGAAACAGCCCUAGAGCCAACCCGUCUCUGUUGCAAAAGAGUGGGAAGAUUUCCAAGUAGAAGUGAAAAGCCUACCGAGCCUAGAGAUAGCUGGUUACUCAAGAAAAGAAUCUUAGUUCACCCUUAAGUCCCCUUCUUUCCCUACCCCACCCCCAAAAAGACCCUAGACUUAAGAGCUAUUCAAAUAAGGCACAGCUUAUUUGAUAAAGGAUACAACCUAAAACUAAGGGUCAGUCUAUCUACUAUUUCCCAAGUGGGCCUAAAAGCAGCCACCUUUUGAAAAGCGUUAAAGCUUAACAAUAACCUUAUCCCCAAUUUCAUAUUCCCCUACGAACCCUACCUAUAUUUAGUAUUGAGUAAUCUUAUAAAAUUAUAAGAGAUACAAUGUUAAAACUAGUAACAUGAAGCAGCCCUUCUCCCUAAUGCAAGCAAAUACCAAAAUGGACUAACCAUUGGUUCUUAACGUCCAUGAGCUCAACCUAGCAACACUCCCUUCGAAAACCCUAUGCCCAAAUUACGUUAACCUUACACUAGAGCAUUCCUGGAAAGAUAAAAAGAAAAAGAAGGAACUCGGCAAACUAAAAUCCCGCCUGUUUACCAAAAACAUCGCCUCUUGACACAUACUCCCUAUAAGAGGUCCAGCCUGCCCAGUGAAAUUUUAACGGCCGCGGUACUCUGACCGUGCGAAGGUAGCAUAAUCACUUGUUCUUUAAAUGAGGACUAGUAUCAACGGCAUCACGAGGAUUUUACUGUCUCCUUUUUCCUAUCGGUGAAACUGAUCUCCCCGUGAAGAAGCGGGGAUAAUAUUAUAAGACGAGAAGACCCCAUGGAGCUUUAAACCCAGUAACACCUCAAACACACCCCCCUCCCAAAAAGUUUUAAUGUUCUGUUUACUGGUUUUAGGUUGGGGCGACCGCGGAGUACAACUUAACCUCCACAGCGCACGGAACUUAUUCCUUACCUGAGAGCUACACCUCAAAGAAUUAUCACAUUAACGUAAAAUGAUCCAAUAUUUUCCUUAUUGAUUAAUGAACCAAGUUACCCUGGGGAUAACAGCGCAAUCCAUUUCUAGAGCCCCUAUCGACAAAUGG